Long non-coding RNA from Esox lucius (northern pike), 1231 nucleotides. NCBI's taxonomy places the organism in Eukaryota, Metazoa, Chordata, Actinopteri, Esociformes, Esocidae. The record is from Ensembl.
CAAUUCUCCUAAACACUCUUCUGCAGAACAACAACAUUUUACAAUGGCUCUAAAAAUGUCAAGUUAUUGAGGCUGUUGCUCCACAAUAAAUGUUAUGUUGUGGUACUGUAUUUAAGAUUGUUAUGUAGUCACAGAUGGACAUUUGAGUUCAUUUUGGUAAGGUGAUCGGGUAAGCAGAUUUAUUUUAAUACUGGUUGGAUGAAUUAUUGUAAUACUGGUUGGUUGAAUUAUGUUAUUACUGGUUGGUUGAAGUGAAACUCUGCUGACGUGUUUCAGUAGGCAGAAUUAUGUUAGUACUGGCUGGUUGAAGUGAAACUGCUGACGUGUUUCUGUAGGCGCCUGAAGGCCCUGCCGGCUGGAGUAAUCCCCAGACCCAGACCAGGUGGCUCCUGCUCCAUGUCCUUUCCCUCAACUGCCUCAAAAUCUGACAAUGCUGCCUGUGCACAUUUCGUGUGGCUUUGGAGCCCAGGAUGCAGGACCAAAAAGUGGCAGAGCACUGGAGCAUAGUAACAACACACACACACACACACACACACAUGCACACACUUACCAACAAAGAAACCCAUGAUGCAACAUCUUCAUAGACCAUAAAAAAGGAAUGGAUUACUGACAUCGCUGGUCUGAAAUUAUAGUCACUGCCUUAAUAUUAAUACAUGAUGUGUUUUCACAAUAUCUAUAUACUAACAUGCCUUCAUAGAUUUUUUAUGGUUGCAUUUCACUUCAUGAUGAUAUUAUCAUACAUAUUAAUAAUGUAAUAAAAUAAAAUCUCAGCUGCUUAAGCUUCUCAUAAAACUGUCAAGCUAUGAAAUGGAAAGGUAUAUGCUGCCCCCUGGUGUUCUAUGCAGAUAUUUCUUUGUUUUGCAUGCAGUAAACUACUAUGUGAAGAUUUCCUCUGCGAUGAAAUAGGAGGGUUAACUCAAGCGUUUAGUAUGUUCGUUUUUAUAUAGUUGCAUGUUAUCGCCUGUACAGUUUUCCUGAGGAUUUUUGCACUACGAUGCCGCGACUCCAAGAAUUAAGUGGUUAGAACGUAGCAACUGUGUGCACUCGCAUGCGCAAGCACGUGUACACGCGAACACAGCUGUGCAAAUGCUGCCCCUGAUUUGGCCUAUCCGAGAUGGAUUGUCAAAACGUAAGGUACAUAAAUUACCUGCGUAUUGCAGCUGUAUUUUUAUCUUAAUGCAUAACAUUGUCCAUCGCAUGCUAUAAACGUAUUCGUUACCAACAUCUUAUA